RNAcentral lists this ribosomal RNA (571 nucleotides) under Ambrosiella roeperi. Its description in RNAcentral is "eukaryotic LSU rRNA". It matches the Rfam family "Eukaryotic large subunit ribosomal RNA", at positions 44 to 637 of the family's 3401-position model. Lineage: Eukaryota; Fungi; Ascomycota; Sordariomycetes; Microascales; Ceratocystidaceae. The record is from RNAcentral.
CAAUAAGCGGAGGAAAAGAAACCAACAGGGAUUGCCUUAGUAACGGCGAGUGAAGCGGCAACAGCUCAAAUUUGAAAUCUGGCUACUUUGUAGUCCGAGUUGUAAUUUGUAGAGGAUGCUUUUGGUGAGGUGCUUUCUGAGUUCCCUGGAACGGGACGCCAGAGAGGGUGAGAGCCCCGUACAGUUAGCAACUGAUCCUUUGUAUAGCUCCUUCGACGAGUCGAGUAGUUUGGGAAUGCUGCUCUAAAUGGGAGGUAUAUCUCUUCUAAAGCUAAAUAUAGGCUAGAGACCGAUAGCGCACAAGUAGAGUGAUCGAAAGAUGAAAAGCACUUUGAAAAGAGAGUUAAACAGCACGUGAAAUUGUUGAAAGGGAAGCGCCUAUGACCAGACUUGUUUCUAUCAGUUUUGGUAGUUUUCGGACUGCUUUACUCUGUUAGUACAGGCCAACAUCAGUUUGUUGUCGGGGAGAAAGGCUUAGGGAAUGUGGCUCCCUCGGGAGUGUUAUAGACCUUUGCAUAAUACCCUUCGGCAGACUGAGGACCGCGCUUCGGCAAGGAUGUUGGCGUAAUGG